RNAcentral lists this ribosomal RNA (429 nucleotides) under Acidobacteriota bacterium. RNAcentral describes it as "Acidobacteria bacterium partial 16S ribosomal RNA". It matches the Rfam family "Bacterial small subunit ribosomal RNA", at positions 355 to 776 of the family's 1533-position model. The record is from RNAcentral. Lineage: Bacteria; Pseudomonadati; Acidobacteriota.
UGGGGAAUUUUGGACAAUGGGGGAAACCCUGAUCCAGCCAUCCCGCGUGUGCGAUGAAGGCCUUCGGGUUGUAAAGCACUUUUGGCAGGAAAGAAACGUCAUGGGUUAAUACCCCGUGAAACUGACGGUACCUGCAGAAUAAGCACCGGCUAACUACGUGCCAGCAGCCGCGGUAAUACGUAGGGUGCAAGCGUUAAUCGGAAUUACUGGGCGUAAAGCGUGCGCAGGCGGUUCGGAAAGAAAGAUGUGAAAUCCCAGAGCUCAACUUUGGAACUGCAUUUUUAACUACCGGGCUAGAGUGUGUCAGAGGGAGGUGGAAUUCCGCGUGUAGCAGUGAAAUGCUUAGAUAUGCGGGGGCACACCGAUGGCGAAGGCAGCCUCCUGGGAUAACACUGACGCUCAUGCACGAAAGCGUGGGGAGCAAACAGG